Molecule: long non-coding RNA, 901 nt
Organism: Lolium rigidum
Lineage: Eukaryota; Viridiplantae; Streptophyta; Magnoliopsida; Poales; Poaceae
Exons: 6
Source: RefSeq, a predicted model, not a curated record
GCGGCGACCACCGGAGCUCACGCUUCGACCUACAUGUACUUCCACGGCGACGGCAACGACUUGAUCUGACACGAGCCAUCCCCUCCUGGUAACUAGCAGAUAGCCUGAUAUUUUGUAGCGAUUGGGCUCCGAGACAGAAAAGCAUCAUGGUGUACCCUGGAUUGAGGAGAUGCAUAGUUCAGUGAAGUUUUGUGUGGUUUGAGGAAGAUCAGAAAGAAAAGAAGGAACCUUACCUUUUUUGGUCUUCUUGGUUCACAUUUUGAAUAGAUGGGCAUUGGACAUGCGCCGCUCAACUGGGGCAAUUUAGUUCUGUGUGCUCUUCCACCUGCGUACAUCCUCCUAAGUCGGUGCGCCUAAGUCAUGCGUUCUUUAUAAAAACGUGAUUUUCUCACAAACAGAUCAAAGAUGAGCUUCUGAACAUUGGCCAUUCAGGUAUGCCAUGCAUAUACGGAGGAUGAAUUCAACAAUUACCUGUUCUCCAAUUUGAUCUUUGUUGGUAGCCAUGCCUUGCUCCGUCUAUCUGAAUUUGCUAUCAGCCACGCUGUCACUACUGUGUUAGUUACUGAAGUCAUCGACAGUAUAACAGUCCAGCACGAUAUUUACAGCAACAAGAACAUCUGCCUGAAGCUAGACCUACCAUUUUCUGUCAUCUAUGAUCUAUGCAUGUAAAAGUCGUUUUUUCCGUGCCAACAUUUAUCUCUAUGUAAGUAAUAGCUUUGAUAUGUGAAAAAUAUUUCAAACUUGGUUAGUACAUGGAGAAGGGUGAAGCCAGCAAGGAGAAGUUACGGAAAUUAAGUUGGUUUUAAAUGAAUAAGUGUAGUAGUAUGCUAAGCAGAACACAUAUGGUUUCACGUGCCAGAUUAUACAAAUCUGUGCGUGCAAUUCUGAAACAAUUAUCCUA